This 207-nucleotide ribosomal RNA is filed under the name uncultured bacterium. RNAcentral describes it as "partial 16S ribosomal RNA". It matches the Rfam family "Bacterial small subunit ribosomal RNA", at positions 568 to 774 of the family's 1533-position model. The record is from RNAcentral.
CGCGUAGGCGGUUGAUUAAGUCGGAUGUGAAAGCCCCGGGCUUAACCUGGGAACUGCAUUCGAUACUGGUCGACUAGAGUACGAGAGAGGGAGGUAGAAUUCCACGUGUAGCGGUGAAAUGCGUAGAUAUGUGGAGGAAUACCGGUGGCGAAGGCGGCCUCCUGGCUUGAUACUGACGCUGAGGUGCGAAAGCGUGGGGAGCAAACA